CCUACGGGAGGCAGCAGUAGGGAAUCUUGCGCAAUGGGCGAAAGCCUGACGCAGCCAUGCCGCGUGAAUGAUGAAGGUCUUAGGAUUGUAAAAUUCUUUCACCGGGGAAGAUAAUGACGGUAUCCGGAGAAGAAGCCCCGGCUAACUUCGUGCCAGCAGCCGCGGUAAU
RNAcentral lists this ribosomal RNA (169 nucleotides) under uncultured bacterium. Its description in RNAcentral is "partial 16S ribosomal RNA". It matches the Rfam family "Bacterial small subunit ribosomal RNA", at positions 338 to 524 of the family's 1533-position model. The record is from RNAcentral.